CACCGGGAAGCAGCCGCGGCGCCAUCUUUAGGAAGGGCGGCGGGAGCGCUCCCCUCAGAGCAGCCCGUCCGCCCCUCAGGCAACUCCCGCCCUCCUAGGAAACCUUCCCCUUUCCCAGGAAACCUUCCCCGUUUAACGCUUUCAUAGCCCAAAAAUUUGGGUUUAACACAUAGCCGUGUUCUGGUGUCGUCUUGGAUUUAAUUUAAAAAGAGAUGUUAAGUUUUAUCUCUCGUGGUGAGCCAAGUGCAGCCCUCAUCCCACAGCCUGAGCGCGGUAGAAAACAGAGGACACGUUUUUUACUUUAAAAAGGCUUGAAAUGAGACGUGAACGAUAAGAUCUUAAAGCGUAGCUUUGGGGUUUCACCGGCCUUUUGAACGCUUGGAGUUGGCAACACUGACCAGCUGUGGCACAAAGAAGUAAAUAUCUUAAUUUAUUUCGUCUUUUCCCAUCUCAGACCCAGGAUAUGAAACCGUCAUCACUCUGAAAGCGAAAAACCUCCAGCAGUUACCUCGCUGCAUCGAAUAAAUAGCGUCGGCAAUUUGUUGAACAGCAAGCUGGGAACCGCUCUGUGGUGAAAGUUCCAGCACUUCGAAGGACACGUAAUCUGCUGUGCUUUUCAAAACUUCCGCACAGUUAUCCACGUUGCUGCUUGUGUUGGAACUGCGGAAUUUCCAUAAGAGAAAGCGUGGUUUUGUCAAGACUCUUCCAGGCACUGAUGAGAGGUUAAAUUCGGACUAUAGAUAAUAUAUCAUUUAAGCAUUUUGCCAAAUCCAGAAAUGAUCAGAGAAGACAAGGGAGAGGGCACAGAUGAAAAUGCAAAUGGAAAUCUCGAAUCUGAUGAAUGGGAAGAUGAGUGACUGAGCAGGAAACUCCCAUUGUUCGGGUGCGUGGUUGACACUGAAGGGGCAGGUGUGUCCACAGAAGGCGCCCGGGAGGAUUCGCGAGACCGAGUGACAGAACUGUGCGAAAUAGCGGCGGUGGUCUGGCAGCGUCCGCAGAGCAGAAGCGUGGAGCACAGACCUUGGAUUUGAGCGACAGUAUCUCCAAGCACUGUCUGGAGAGUCACUCGGUGCUCAGUCCUUGGACCAAGGGCUCCGUACGGAAUUGGCAGCGUCACUCCAAACUCGUCAGCUUGCUGGUUUGCCGUCUGAGGCUGGUUAGGCCUGAGCCAAACUGUACAGCAGCACAUGAAGACCAGACUGCGGUACGUCCCCUGAGAGCUGACACUGGUGAGUUCUUCUCAAGAGGUAGAACCCAGCAGCCGUGGGACACUCACCAGAGCAAGACUGGCUGCUGGAGCAGUGGCUGAAGAAGCGCUUGGGCCGCUGCUGGAACACAGCUCGCUGCUCUUCUCUCUGGAGCCUCCUCCUGCUGCCACACUGCUGAGGCCAACACAGCCGCUCGCUUCCUAAAGCAUCUCCUGUACUUUAGCGUUAGACGCUCGUCUCUAGAUUCUCCAGGUGCUCCCAGCUCGUUCAACGCAUCUCUCAUCAUUUUGCUAUAAUGGUAAGAUAUUGUUCAUCGCUGUUGGCCAAGCUGUGCCCUUCGGGCUGGUUGCAGCACCCUGAACGGUGCCCCAGCGGCUCAUUUGACUGAUGAGCUGCAGUAACUGCUUUGGAAUCCCUGUGUUGUGACACCCUCACAAACACAGUGUAUUAUUUCAUUCCUUUAUUAAGUCAUUUUUUAGACUUCAAGUUCUUUAACUGCAUCAGAAAAGUUUCUGGAUGAAACCAAUUUACUGUCAUGGUUUAACACGCUGCUCUUACAUGGUUCAUUUUCAGUAAAUCCAUGCAGUAUGAAGCCUGCCCAACACUAAACCAAUAGUCUUCUCAUUUAACAAACUUCUAGUAAAAUCAAAUUUUUAUUUUGCCUGGUUACCAAAAGAGAAAAAAAAAAAAAUCCCACACUUUUCCUGGGUUUCAAUCAAAUUCUUAGUCAAGAGAAAGUAUAAGGAAUACAGACAGUACAUAGAACAGAUGUUUACGUGUAAACUUAUGCCAUUCAGCUCUUAAUAAAAAUGAUUCGGACACCAACAUAUCAAAGGCGUCUCACUGACAUAUGGUGUCCGACACGCUCCCACAAAUGAAUACAUGCUGGCUUUGAUGACAACCACACAAAUUGUAUCAUUCUGGGGGAACAGUCAGAUUUGUGCCUGUACAGGAACACAGAACUUGAAUUUCUUCAGGAGGCCGCACCACGUUGUAACCAGAGAGUGUCGGCUGAGGAGAACAUGUCCAGUCAUUCGCUGCCUCCUGUUUCUGCUCAGACCCAGGACAAAAAAAGAGCAAAAAGAGGAGUCCCAUGUGUAAAACCAGCCCCAAGACUUCUCUUAUUCCUAAAUGAGAAAUCGCCAGGGAUCUUUUUAAUUUUUGCUCUGGAUUUUUGCUAUGGAUGCUGCAGAUCACACAAGUGACUUCUCUGUGCUUACCCUCUUAGGGAGAGGGAGCAGAAUUUUCUAGUUUUCAACAACAAGUUGAUUUUGAAAUCUCUAAUUACAAAAAAAAUGUAUAAAAAUGUAUUAGCCAGCAGAUUUAUGUUUGAAAAAUACAGCAGUUUAAUUACAGAGAUAUCGUAAUUCUCUAUUUUUGAGGAAACGUGAUUACUGCAAUUUCUUCGUUAGGUUAUAGUUUCACUAGUUAAAACAUUAUUUGAAAGGUAUGGUGUAAUCUGUUUAUUCCACACUGUUGAAACCACAGCACAACAUAAGCAAACACUUGAAUACUCUCUUCCUAGCAACCAAGGUCCUUCAUCAGAAAAGCAGCACAUUUGUCUUUUUUCUGUACCUUGUAUUAAGCCAAAUUUCCAGUUUGCAAUCCUUUGGGCCAUUCAACAGCCAUCAGAUUCCUGGAAUAUAAUUUUAGUUGAAAGUCUAAGCCAGUGACUAAGCCAAUCAUCUCCUUGUUAAUUUUCUAAAAGAAUUUAAUUGAGCUUUCUUUCCAAAAACACCAUGUGAGUAACUAGAGUGUCCUUGGGUUUAAUGUUAGAGGAAAACCAUCUAUCAAGAUACCCAAAAUGACUUGGGGCCAAAAUUCCACACUGGAUACAUCCAAAUCUCUAUCGGAAUGCACUGAGCUGCUUUAUAUUUAGUAACCUGCCGCAUCACUUAACUCUUCACAUUCCCAGCAGCAGUUCCUGAAGUGCCGAGUUUCUGCAGGUCCCACUGCAGUGAGGACAAGGUACACAUACCGAGUUACUCCCUCGGGAUUUCGCGUUGUCUUUAUAGGCUGGGAUAGUGGGGAUGGUUUUACUGAAGAAACAGGUGACAAGAUCCUGACUGAGGUGACUUGUGCUAAAUGCGCAUUAUCACACACAUCCCCCAGCGCAUUAUGCGUCUGUUCGCCACCACUUCGCAUUUGCAGAGCUUAUUUCAGUAUUUUUGCAUUUUUUUCCACCCUUGAUAAUUUAUUUAUGAGUUUCGGAUUAUUAACAAUUUGAAGCUUCAUUACAAACUAUCCUGGGGGAAUCUCACCUGCUUCAUCCCACUAAAUUAUUAUUCCCAAAUAUCUAAUUUACAUUUAAUAAGACAUCAAUUGAACAUCAAUAAAAUAAUAAUGCAUUAAUAAACUACAGCCUCCCAGAAAUACUAGUAGCUUACAUAGGUAAGCAGUGCGCAGUCUGCAGGUCAGUCGUCAAAUCUCUCUGCGAAUAUUUGUCAGAAUCAUUUAGUAUUUAGCACAUGAUAAUAAACCAGAAAAAUAUUUAAUUCCUAUGGUCUUCAACUAAUUCUUGUGAUGACUGUGAACCACACCAACCUGUGGACCUGCAGGGCAGAGCCGGGCAGUACCCAGGUGUCCCAUGUGAGUAGCGCAGCCACCUCAGAACAUGUAACUGCCUAAGAAAUGGCAACAGAAUUCUGGUUAGGGUAAAUACUUUUUUAUUAUUAUUUUAACAUAAUCUCUUAAACAGAAAUACUUUAUUUUUCUAUACAGAAAGCUGAACUACACCCUUCUUUAAACUGACUUAAACUUCCGUCGAAGAACAUUAAAUUGCGUUGUUCAACAUUGCUGGCUGGGUGUUCCGUUUUAACAAAAUAUCAACCCCAAAGAUGAGCUUUGGCAAAUAUUUCUAUCCAGACAAAAGUGGCAUUAUUUCACCUUGGAGAACUUCGGUGAAGGCUCUAACCCUAUUCCAGCCUGUAGCUCCACAGCGCUGUUUAUCCCUAACUGGUAACAACUUCCAUGUGCAUUUCCUGGGCUCGUGCAAAGCCCAGGAAGAAGGGGAAGCACAAGAGCCAAGGUUUUAAUUCUGCAUUUUUUUUUUUCUUUAUUUCACCAACUUCUUAUUAUGUACUUUAUGGUUCAAAUUUUAUCAGGGCUUGAAAAAGAGCCUCCGAUGGAAAAGCUGCCCAUGUUGGGCAGGCUUCUCCAUCACAGUCACUGAGAAUCACUUACCCUGUUCUGCAUCAUGAUUCCUCUGGUGAGCAGAACUGCGCCAGCCUCCCACUUCAGUGGGAUUUACACGGGGGCUGUAAAUGCCCAUCUGUGGAACUGAAGCCGAAAGACAGUAUUAUCGCUCUGUGACAGUCUGAUUGUUUUAAUGUUCAUUGACUCCUUUUCAUCCACAACACAACUGUCAAUUUUUAACUGCUCAUGUCCACUGUCUGGACAUCUCCAUUGCACAAGCAAGGAUGAGAAGGCCAGCCAUCCUUCAUGCAAACAUUACAGCCCCACUGCAAACCUUAAUGCCGCUUGCAGUGUUUACAAGUCCACCGAGAUGUGCUGUGCAAACCCUAACACAGAGAGAGGUUUUAGUUUAACAUUUAAAAUAAAUGUUAAGGUCUAAAGGGGCCAUCAGAAAUGCCGGUCUGACUGCUUAUAUCAGAUUUUUACCCAGUUAGUUCUGUUUGACUAAACCGCAUCUUCCUGAAAUACUUCCAGUCUUCAGCUGUAAAUGGAAAAUCCAUCAUCUCUUCUCAGCAGUUUACACUAGUGUUAAUAACCCCAAGCAUUUACACUAGCAUUAAUUAAUCUGCUCCUCCUGAACAAAUCCACAUACAUACCUUUUUUUGGGGCACUCUCAUGCAGAGAGCACUUGCCCACAGCUUUGAGGGAUGCUUCUAAUUUUAGGGCAACCCACUUACCAGAUUUUCCAUUUCCUCUCAUUCAAGUUUUGGAAGAAAAAUACCACUCACCUCUCUUUUUUAAAAAACUUCCACCGUGGAAGAGUUUCACUGCCCUCAUUCAAUCAAACUACUCCAUGACUUGAAUAGACAUUUUUCUUGAGUAUGGAAGAAUAAAGCCUUCACUUUCUGGGCCUUUUUCACAAUGGAACCUGUGAAAAUCAAAAUAAAUAAUGUACACGGAUUCAUCCUUAGUGAGUGCAAAAAUAGUCCCUCAGAGUGAUAGGAAUCGGCUUGUCUCCGGUGGGAGCUGUAUAACCUCUUCUGUAAACACGACAAUGAAUAAUGAUCGGUCUCAUACUCCUCUCUCACACUCUUGUGUGACAGACCCUUAAUAAUGGCUAUUACAUUAUUAAUUGCUUCAGAGAAUUCUCCAUGGCUAAAGCUGUGUUGUCUGGACAUCAAGGACAGCAUAAAAACCCUCCUUAGGAAAGCUCCUCAGAAGCAUCUGCUGAUGUUCAGCCCACCUAAGGUGUGCUCUGUUCUAGACAGAAAACGCAUCGCUUCAGCUUGCUGCCUCCUACAAAAACUGAUACACCACUGAAAAUUCAGGGGAAGAUUUCCACCUGAAAACACUGAGGGAAAGGAAAAGCCAUUCUCUCACUAAGCUCUGAAAAACUUCAGAUUUCUGUCAUCUUAGCCUCUAGAUCCUGCAAAGCUCACCCAUCCUUAAGAAGUUCCUGACCGCUGGGGCUUGCACCGCAACAGUGCUAAAGCAGAACCACACAUUCUGACUGUGUAACAGAAAACUGAACCAGAAACCACCCACUGAGGCACUGUACCACCAGCAUCUAUUACAGCACCACUGCUGGAACAUUUUAAUUGGGUGGAUUAAAGAAGCCAGAAGAAGGCCAACCUCCGUGUGAGGCCACACGAAGAACUGUAAUCUGCACUGCAGCAGGAGCCUGAAUCCAGUCAGGUUUGAGACCUAAUCUGGCACGAACCUGGUGUGUAGCUGUACUGCAUUGGGUGUCUUAUAAACACAACUUUCAAUAAUAUGUUCUUCUUAUGAAAGCAAUAACAAGCGGUAAGAGGAGAAGAGCCUAUACCCGGCAAGCUUUCCUAUUAAAUUCCACUAAUGCGUCUCAGCCGUGACCCAUAGUAAUUUGGGUAACCCAGUAAGGCUGAAUGCCCCUAAGAACCUGGGAUGAUGUACGGCCUACCUGCAAGAGAUGAGGACGUACAAGAGAGCAACUAGACACCAAGUAUCACCUUGCACUCAGAACAAAAGUGAACUUAAAAAACAGAUGUAAGAAAAUUCAUUAUCAAGAAUAAGAAAACCUGCUUUACGUAGUCCUACAGGUGCUUUCAAUGCCACCAACUCAGCACUCGUUUCCAAUUGCAACAUUACAUCCACUGUCCUGCUUAAUGGAAUACGCAACACUCAGGUUACUCUCAGGCUUUAUAGUAACUACAGUUAUUCCAAUACAAAUACCUUGAAGGAUCGUGUUUUCUCAGAUUCAUUCAUGUUUCGCCAGAACCCCAAAGUCUUCUACCUUAUCACACAAUAGGUUUUAGAGAGCCCACUCCUCUUAAAUCAUUCUAAUACUCUUCUUCAUUUCCAUAUGCUUUGGAUAAGUGUGCACAGACCCAGUGAAGCAUUAAUACUCUCUCCUGAAAAAUUCAUCUGCUCACCUGAAUUAUGAUUUCAGGCCCUUAGCGGCUUAAGUACAACUCUAGGUAGGGAAUGGCUUCGGGAAGCAGCCUCUGCUCUCAGGUUACUUGGGAAAAUAAGGUAACAAGCAAUGUAGUGGUGUAGGCAGGAAUUACAAGACUUUUUAUGCUCUUUAAUAUUUCCCUUAAUUCUAAAAUCAACCAAAGCCCCAGCAAAAGAAUCACUUUUCCUUUAGAAUUGUCUCUCAGCAGGGUAGUGCGCGCUGCCAAGUUAUCGCUUUGUGCCAUAUCGGAUUUUCAAAGCCAUCCGUAUUCAAUGUGCUAAGAAGCGACACUGAAUCCCGCAAUUACAAAUAAAACCAAAAGUUUCAAAAAGAUUUUGGAAUUUAGAGGAAUAUAAACGGCUGCUUUGAAGCUGCUUUUACAGAUUUACAUUUUAGUCCAUUUUGAAUGGAUAAACAGACAAAAAUAUGUUUUGUAAAGGAACAAUAAGAUCUCCAGUUUAACACUUUCCAUAGUUAGAUAGUAAGAAAUACCAGGAGCCACAGAAAGAAUAAUUUAUAUUCACUGUGUGGAAUGCUUAUGUUUCAUUUCUGCUUAUUACUUGAGCUGCUGAAAAGCACCUCGUUUUCUAACCUUAACGACUUAAUGUAAGGCAGGAGACUCCUGCAAAUGUACAUUCCCACCAUCAUUUCCACCUUCAUCUUUCCCACCCAACUGCAAGGAUGAUCCAGAACAAUCAGGGCACGAUUACUGUUCAGUCAAGAGAUUCACAAAGUUUAUCAAAGGUUUCUUUUUUUUUCUUCUGAAAGACACAGCUAACAUUGCCAAAGCAUCCAUACACACUUCGAAUUAAAGAUGUGGAGAAAAGGGCUCUGAAAGGAAAAUUAAUUAGGAAGAUUCAUUCUCUAACAUUGCUUGCUGUCACUUCACUCCUAACGAUUGAAGUGUUUUCAUGGUUUUCUGCAUUCUCCCUCAGUGCUGUGUAAUUUGAUUUCCAAAUCCCCUGAGCUUUGCCACAAACCUCCGGGGUGUCUCCGGGAUGCAAAGGUCAGAGCCAGAGAUGAUGGGGAUGGGGGAUGCAGAGGACAAGUCUCAGAGCCUCUUGCUUCAAACCCAUCGCUGCCACAGGAACCCGGGGCAGGGAAGCACACCAGACAAUCUCCCAAAGGAAAAUCAACCACAGCAGGAACUUCCCGAGGAAAAACCAGCCCUGGUGGUGACUGAUCCUAGAGUCACUGCCAGCAGAAUCCAAGUGGCGUUCCCUAAACUAAAGGAACAAGACAGCUUUCCCAGAGAUCUUCUGCACGGAAAUCAAACAGGCUCCCAGAUUUCUUGAACAAAAAUCCUACACUGGGAAGCCCAAACAAGUUAACUUGCAUGUUUGGCUGAUGUAUUUAGGGAAAGGCUUUGGUGCUGUGUUCCACCCACCCUCCAGAGACACCCUUCAGCGCCAGCUCCUCCACAGCCCCCACAUUCCCAAUACGGUGCUGCCGUGGUCUCGACAUGACGGGUAACCAAGUGCCAGCCAGCCUCUAGCUUAGGCUUCCCGAACAACCUUCUUUUCUUUUUUAUUGGUUAAUUAACAUAAUCACUUCUUAAGAACAACUGUAAUAGCAGUCAGCGGAACAGGUGGUGUGACUAGUAAAAAGUCUAUAAAGAGAAAAAUCAAUAUCCCACCAGAGGUAUGCAGAGGAUGUACCUUUUAAGAUCACAAAUUCCCUUGUGGGGACCUAAAUAAUUCUCUGCCGCUUUUGCAUGAUGUGCUUCCGUUUUACCUUAUUUGUUAUUGUCUGUUUAAUCGAGUUCUUCUGUAGUAUAAGCGUGAUCACCAUUAUGCUAAUCUCUGCACUAGACAUGCAUAUAUAUAAACAUUUGUGUGCCAAAUUAUUAAGGUUCUGUCUAUAAUGUUAUGCUCCUAUUCACUAUCUAUAUUUUAUGUCUUAUGGAUUUCUAAACAUUUAAAUUUAUAUCAGUGCUGUCACAUAUCUGCAAGCAGAGACAGUUUUAUGAGCACUAAAAAAGCUGCAACACACAGCCACUAAAUACUAAUGACAUAAAUGGUAUCCACUAAUGGUCUCUAUUUUUAUUACAAUACAAAACUUCAAUAUAUUGCAAUUACCACUGCUCUCAGACGGAACCAUACACACUGUAUAAUGCCAACUUCCAUCUCUAUAGCGUAAAAUGGCAUUAUUUGUUGUAUAUAGUUCAGCCCUGUACUGUAGAUGUUGACUGAAUGCUCAAGUCAGCAGUUGUAGCUAAAAUUCACUCUAUUUACAGAGUCUUACUGUUAACUAAUACCCUAAGUUGUCAAAUAUGCCAAUGCAUUAGACAUUUUUCAAAGCCUGCUGCACUAAUAGCAUGUAAGUGUAGCACGUCUUGUUGUACCUGUCAACAGCCCAGAAACUUUGCAAAGGUAAAGCAUGUCAAAAAAAGGAAAUUAUCUUCCUGUGCUUCUGUGUUAAAAAAUCUUUACUGAGUGAUUUUUUGAAAAUAUUGUAAUACAACAGUGCAGUCAACAAAGCUCGCUCUCAUGAAACUCAGCUCCUGUUUUACCUUUUUCAUGUUAAAUUUGAAAUUCUUCAUUCACAAUUAGAACAGUCUCUCUUUUUACUUCAGCUAUCAAAGAGACAAAAACUUGCUCUUAGGAUUUUGGGACAGUGGAAACCUCAAUGUUGUCCAUAAAACUGGAUGAAAAAAAGCGUACCGCAGAAAUCCCUCAUACGUGAACCAGGGAGGAGUGGAGUUAAUCUCAUUCCAUCUACGCAUUUUACUUGCCAGAAAUUUUCACCCAAACAGGAGAGCUAAGGUCGCCUCCCGAGCUCUCUCACGCCUGUUUAUCUCAUGCAAAACAAGCCCUAGUUAUACUCCCUUUCACUGACUUAGCUGAGAAUAACCUCCAGAAGGCUGGAGUUCUGUCUGAACCAGGAGACGUUUCCCUAUUCCCAUGCAGCUGGGCAGUCACUUACCCAAGGAAAACGCUGGAGACAAAGUAGGUGUCAGACCUGGUAGCGUUUUACAUGCAUUUGCUGACACAAGGCAGACAACACAAACGUGCACGCAAAAUAUUUCCCGAGGGCUGACUAGUGAGAACAGCAAAAAACUGGAAGACAGUGUAAUUACUGCAGAGUUACCAAAUACUGCUUGUGCUUAAAAAUACAAUGCAAAGAUCACCCUUAACUUUUAGUCUGGAAAGCCACUCCACCUGAAAGUAGGAUUUUCUUUAAAUGUUCUCACUCACACUGCGUAAAUCUAAACACACAUGACUGACUAUACAAGAAUGAAUGAUGGAAAAUAUGUAGAAUAAUAUCUAAACCUCACAACUGGGAAUACUGGUAUGGUAUCACUUAUUUUUUCAUCUUCCUUUUUCUGCCAAUAAUAUUCAAUAUGACAAGUGCUUUCUAAUGUCAUCUGAACCCACUUCAGCGUGCUAAUAUUUUGACUAAACAGAUUUUAUCUAGGAUCCCAGUCAACUCUGUUCUACAAUUAAUAAAAUGUUCCAACUGAAAAUUCAAUGGCAGUUUAAUUUCAGAAUAUGGGAUUUAUCAGGAGAACAAAUUCAUUAGUUUAAGUAUUUGUAUUAAAAUACAGUUUUUCCAAAUAAGUAAAAUAUUCUACCUCAUCUUCUCAAGAAUUUGAAAUAAUGGCUCACUUUUGCCAUUCAAAACGUUGGGUUUUUUUCAUUUUUAAUCCUCUCCACGCAUCUCAAAACUUGAAACAAACCACACUGACUGACUUCACUAAUAAAAAAAGGAAACAUUUGAGUCCAUGAGAAGCAUUUAAUUUUUUAAUGAUUUCCCCAUUUUUCUUGAGGAAACUGCUGGGUCACUACAACCCAUUUUGAGGCGUAUUUUUGGACAUUUGGAAAUGCCAUCUUUGACAACCUGUAUCGUUCACUGCAAUUCUUUCUCCUUACUUAACAAUCACAUUGUACCAAGGGAGAAAAUGAGCUCUUUUAAAUCUGAAGCAUAUCAACUUGAAAGAAAAUGUUGAAGUUUUUAAUGCCUGCAACAGAAAAAUAGCAAUAGGUUGCAGGUCUGGUAAUUCCAAGCCAACAAGUGCCUGACUCAUUUUGUUUGGUUUUCUUUCUCUUUCUUUCUUUUAUCCCUCCUAACUUGGGGUUCCCAUUUUUGCCAUUAUAACUCUCGGUGCAGCAAAGCUCAAUGUUAUUCCCCCAAUGGAUGGAAUUUUGAUGAAGUCCCUAAUUUAGGAAAGUGGUUGCCCUGGAAAUGCUGUAAUAUCAAGUAGAGUGAGACAUGUGCAGAGGACAAAGCCAAGGUCUCCACACCAGAUUGUUCCCAGCUCCUCAUCCAGGUGGCUCAGAUACCCGAGUUAUAUGGUCUGAAUGCAGCCCAGGAUCUAAACUCUCCUCUCCUAAAAAAUAUGCAGGAAUAAGUUUUGUGCAUAGAAUCAUUUUGGCUGGAAGUGACCCUUUAAGAUCAUUGAGUCCAACCAUAACCCACCCCUGGCACUGCCCCAUGUCCUGAGAACCUCAUGUCCGUCUGUCCAGCCCUCCAGGGAUGGUGACUCCAGCACUGCCCUGGGGAGCCUGUUCCAAUGCCCCACAGCCCUUUGGGGAAGAAAUUGUUCCCCACAUCCAACCUCAACCUCCCCCGGCACAACUUGAGGCCGUUUCCUCUGCUCCUGGCGCUUGUUCCUGGGGAGCAGAGCCCGACCCCCCUGGCUCCAAGCUCCUUUCAGGCAGUUCAGAGAUCAGAAGGUCUCCCCUCAGCUCCUGUUCUCCAGCUGAACCCCCAGGUCCCUCAGCCGCUCCAUCACACUUGUGCUCCAGCCCCUCACCAGCUCCGUUCCCUUCUCUCCACUCGCUCCAGCACCUCAAGGCCUUUCUUGGUGUGAGGGGCCCAGAACCGGCCCCAGGAUUCGAGGUUUUUCCUCCCCAGGUCCCAGCACAGGGACGGUCACUGCCCUGGGCCUGCUGGCCACACCAGUGCUGGAACCAGCCAGGAUGCUGGUGGCCUCUUGGCCACCUGGGCACACGCUGGCUCAUGUUCAGCCGCUGGCACCAACACCCCCAGGGCCUUUUCCUCUAGGUCAACAUCCCCAGAUCCUUUUCCACCAGAAUAAGGAUUUCUAUUUCAGCCUUAGAAGUGUCUGUUCGCCCGGGGCACUGACACAGCACCCAGCUACCAGCAUAGCUGCCCCCAUAACCAGAAUGACAGAGGAUGGGACGUACUUUCACACAGCAACGUGUCCAAUGGGUUUCUGACCUCGCAGACUCACAGACACAUCUCCCACACAGCUGCUGAAGUCUCUUCCACAGGAAAAAAAGACAGACAGCUCUACCCAGGUACACACAGGGAAACCUCUGCUGAAACAGUAAAAAACCCAUGGAAAACAACAAGAGCCUUUCUGUGCACUCCAAUGGGUGGAAGCCUCUUGCCUCCAUUACCUGUUUGGAAUACGUGGCUAUAGACAGUUUUGUUUUCACAUGUAAAGACAUUAUUUAAAAAGCACCCUGGGAAGGAUGGCUGUCCAGAUCUGCAUUCCCUCCAAAGGGAUUGGGGUGGAAUAUUUACACCCAAGGCUAUGGUUUUUUAAGGUAUUCCUUCUUAUUAUAACAACACAAUGAAAGAGCUAUAAUAUCUGGAAGGUUUAGACUUUUGUCUUGUAACCCUGCAGAUGAAUAGCUUCAACCUUUGAAAGAAAUUGCAGCGUGAAUGUCUGUUUUAUUCCAGAGUUGUGUCUGAGCAGACUAUUAGUAGAAUACUGAUAAAUGCUACAAUAACUAUUCUUUUUCCCCCCCUUCUGCUUUUAUGCCAUUUCCAAUACCUAUUCUUCCCCUGGUGCUGUCAGCUGAUGUCUGUCUCAUAACUCUCCGGGUAACAGCAUUAGAAGAAAAAGAAAUUAAGUUCAAAUAAAACUGCCAGGUAGAAUUCAA
Columba livia (rock pigeon) is the source of this 12632-nucleotide long non-coding RNA. RefSeq lists it as uncharacterized. The transcript is spliced from 10 exons. The record is from RefSeq and is a predicted model, not a curated record. Lineage: Eukaryota; Metazoa; Chordata; Aves; Columbiformes; Columbidae.